GUCUCCGUAGGAGAACCUGCGGAGGGAUCAUUACAAGUGACCCCGGUCUAACCACCGGGAUGUUCAUAACCCUUUGUUGUCCGACUCUGUUGCCUCCGGGGCGACCCUGCCUUCGGGCGGGGGCUCCGGGUGGACACUUCAAACUCUUGCGUAACUUUGCAGUCUGAGUAAACCUAAUUAAUAAAUUAAAACUUUUAACAACGGAUCUCUUGGUUUUGGCAUCGAUGAAGAACGCAGCGAAAUGCGAUAAGUAAUGUGAAUUGCAGAAUUCAGUGAAUCAUCGAAUCUUUGAACGCACAUUGCGCCCCCUGGUAUUCCGGGGGGCAUGCCUGUUCGAGCGUCAUUUCACCACUCAAGCCUCGCUUGGUAUUGGGCAACGCGGUCCGCCGCGUGCCUCAAAUCGACUGGCUGGGUCUUCUGUCCCCUAAGCGUUGUGGAAACUAUUCGCUAAAGGGUGUUCGGGAGGCUACGCCGUAAAACAACCCCAUUUCUAAGGUUGACCUCGGAUCAGGUAGGGAUACCCGCUGAACUUAAGCA
RNAcentral lists this ribosomal RNA (537 nucleotides) under uncultured fungus. Its description in RNAcentral is "eukaryotic LSU rRNA". The stretch from base 190 to 343 matches the Rfam family "5.8S ribosomal RNA". Lineage: Eukaryota; Fungi. The record is from RNAcentral.